GACGAACGCUGGCGGCGUGCUUAACGCAUGCAAGUCGAACGGAAAGGCCCUGCUUUUGUGGGGUGCUCGAGUGGCGAACGGGUGAGUAACACGUGAGUAACCUGCCCUUGACUUUGGGAUAACUUCAGGAAACUGGGGCUAAUACCGGAUAGGAGCUCCUGCUGCAUGGUGGGGGUUGGAAAGUUUCGGCGGUUGGGGAUGGACUCGCGGCUUAUCAGCUUGUUGGUGGGGUAGUGGCUUACCAAGGCUUUGACGGGUAGCCGGCCUGAGAGGGUGACCGGCCACAUGGGGACUGAGAUACGGCCCAGACGCCUACGGGAGGCAACAGUGGGGAAUAUUGCACAAUGGGCGGAAGCCUGAUGCAGCAACGCCGCGUGCGGGAUGACGGCCUUCGGGUUGUAAAACGCUUUCGCCUGUGACGAAGCGUGAGUGACGGUAAUGGGUAAAGAAGCACCGGCUAACUACGU
RNAcentral lists this ribosomal RNA (467 nucleotides) under uncultured bacterium. Its description in RNAcentral is "partial 16S ribosomal RNA". It matches the Rfam family "Bacterial small subunit ribosomal RNA", at positions 28 to 506 of the family's 1533-position model. The record is from RNAcentral.